Long non-coding RNA from Neofelis nebulosa (Clouded leopard), 961 nucleotides. RefSeq lists it as uncharacterized. NCBI's taxonomy places the organism in Eukaryota, Metazoa, Chordata, Mammalia, Carnivora, Felidae. The transcript has 3 exons. The record is from RefSeq and is a predicted model, not a curated record.
CGGCAAGGCCUUGGGACAAAAAGCGCGUCUCGCUUUCGCACAUGCGCAAUCCGCAUAGAUGGUGCACUAGCAAGCGUGGACUUGAGCAUGCGCAGACGUCUGCGCGUGUGGCGGGCUCCUGAGACGGGCUUAAAGGAAGAGUUUGCCUUUGUGCAGAGGGGCCGAGAAAAGUACAGGGAAGCUAUGUGAACUUCUCUGCAGAAAAACUUUCGGAUCUUAUGUGUUCCAACUCCGCUGAAUGUUUUCCUGGAGACUCCACUGAGACAUGGUCUGCACUGUCCAUCACUGUGGCCCCCAGCCUUUGACCAGAUGUGGUACACGCAGAGGACCCUUGUGCCUUGCUGCUUGUGGCCUGUCAAGUCUGUGCCAUCGUCAGCGCAUACCUUUUCCUGGAACUAUUGAGGAAAGGAUAUGUUUUCUCGUACUGAGUUUGCUGAGAAGACAAAAUGUUGGCAGCUAUCCUGUCACCACUGGAGAUCAGCCUGUCUGAGAAUGGAGCCACAACAGAGGAAAGCAGGCAAGAUACAAGACAUGCAAACCAAUCCUUUAACAUUUGAGCUCCUGGAUCCAGCCAUGCCUGAGGUCAGUAUGUCCUAGACUUUUCAGUUACGUGAACCAAUCAAUUCUCUUUUUUUAUUUUGUUUUAUUUUGUUUUUAAUUUAAAUCCAAGUUAGUUAACAGACAGUGUAAUAAUGAUUUCAGGAAUAGAAUUUAGUGAUUCCUCACUUACAUAUGACACCUAGUGCUCAUCCCAACAAUUGCCCUUCUCAAUGCCCCUUGCCCAUUUAGCCCAUCCCCCCGCCCAACACCCCUCCAGCCACCCUCAGUUUGUCUUUUGUAUUUAAGAGUCUCUUACAAUCAAGUCUCUCUUUAGGGCCAAGAAGUUAAGUUGAAUUUCUGAUAUUGCAACCAAAGAGUCUCAAUACACCCAUAUAUUUUCCCCCUUUUAAAGUUCCAGUGC